ACAUGGAAGAUUAAUUAUUAUUAUUAUUAUUAUAAAAAUUCAUCUUCCAUGCAGUUUCGGUCCCUUCAGCAGAGGGCAGAGAGACUAAAUAAUCUUUGUAUAAAUAUCUUUGGUUAAGGUGCUCUGCCUGUGCUUCAGCGCCCAGAUCCCCACAGCUGGAGCUGGCUGGCUAAGAUUGCGCAUGUGCAGUCCACUAAACCAGGCGUGCACAACCCGGGCCAGCCUGUGAGCUGGUUUUUGUUCCAGCCAUUUGCCUUAAUUUUAGUUUUUUUUCUGACAGCUCAAUGAACUACGCCGGUUCACUCCUGUACAUUGAGCACAGUGACAUCUUCAAUAUGCACUCUCAGUCUUUGGCUGUAGUCGGUGCUCAUUAAAUCAGAUCACAAAACACAAUUUGUUUAUAUAGCGCCUUUCAUGCAAGAUUGCAAUACAAAGUCGUUCACAUAGUAAAGAUAAAAAGAUCCAUAAAAAGCUGCAGCAACACUGAAAACAUAAAAACGAUAAAACGACAUAGAUAGGAACUAAUUGAAUAUAUAACAGCAGAAGUUGGCACAAAACCCCAAAAACAGAUCGGCCCCUUUUGUGCACCCCUGCACUAGAGUAACGCCACCUCAGUCAUUUUUACCUCUGCUGGAGGACUUUCCCCGGAAAGAAACGCCUGCCCCCACGUCAGCCUGUGUGAGCGAGGGUACCAUCAGCCAGGCCUGGAGCGACGGGAUCCGUUUCCGUGGAGACCAUUUCCGCCAUUCCAGAGUGAUGAGAUCCAUUUCCAUGGAGACCAUUUCCACCAUUCCGAAGUGAUGAGAUCCGUUUCCAUGGAGACCAUUUCCGCCAUUCCAGAGUGAUGAGAUCCAUUUCCAAGGAGACCAUUUCCGCCAUUCCAGAGUGAUGAGAUCCAUUUCCAAGGAGACCAUUUCCGCCAUUCCAGAGUGAUGAGAUCCAUUCCCAAGGAGACCAUUUCCGCCAUUCCAGAGUGAUGAGAUCCAUUCCCAAGGAGACCAUUUCCGCCAUUCCAGAGUGACGAGAUCCAUUUCCGUGGAGACCAGGACGACAUAGCUCAGGAGAGUGAAGGGAUCCGUUUCCGUGGAAACUAUUUCCACCCUUCCAUGAGUGAGGAGAUCCGUUUCCGUGGAGCCAUGUGUUCGCCUGUGAGGACUGAACAUGUGGCUGUGACAUCACUUCUCUGAGAUACAACAAGGAGGAAGUGGAUAACUUACCAAAGAAUCCCAAAACACAGGAACUCCACACGGAACAAGCACAUGACAUCACAGACCCAACGCAUGACAUCACAACCAGGAUGGCAACAUCUGGACGACCAGGCUGAGACUACAGGAACCAAGCUGAGAACAUCAUAGCAGGCUCACAUGGGGACACGCUUUCUUUCCGCCCUUUCUUUUUCCCUUUCUUCCCCCCCCCAAAACUAUUUUCUUCCUCCUACCCCUACUCUGUCCAAAAAUAAUUAAAUUUUUUUUUUAAACUACAGAUAAA
Long non-coding RNA from Anguilla anguilla (European eel), 1488 nucleotides. RefSeq lists it as uncharacterized. NCBI's taxonomy places the organism in Eukaryota, Metazoa, Chordata, Actinopteri, Anguilliformes, Anguillidae. The record is from RefSeq and is a predicted model, not a curated record. The transcript is spliced from 4 exons.